CAGGAUAUAACUCAGUAGCAUAGUGCUUGCCUGGCAAGCAUGAGGGCCUGAGUUCGAUUCUUAGUACCCUCC
RNAcentral lists this transfer RNA (72 nucleotides) under Cavia porcellus (domestic guinea pig). It matches the Rfam family "tRNA". Rfam says of the family: Transfer RNA (tRNA) molecules are approximately 80 nucleotides in length. Their secondary structure includes four short double-helical elements and three loops (D, anti-codon, and T loops). The record is from Rfam by way of RNAcentral. Lineage: Eukaryota; Metazoa; Chordata; Mammalia; Rodentia; Caviidae.